GGGGUUAAUUUAAUAAAUAAUAAAUAUGAAAAAAAAUUUUAAUAUAAUAUAUUUAAUGGGGGUUAAAGUAUUUUUAUAGAAAAAAUUUAAAAAUUUAUAGUGAAAUAGUAUUGUGAAAGAAAAAUUGAAAAUAUUGAAAUAAAAAUUUAUUUAAAAGUAAAUUUUAUUUAUUGUAUCUUGUGUAUCAGAGUUUUUUAAAAAAAAAAAUUGGGUAAAUUUAUUUCGAAAUUUAAAGAGUUAAUUAAUUAAAAAAGUUAAUAUUGCAUAAUUAUUUUAAAUAAUUAAUUGGAAAUGAAAAGUUAAUCGUUUUGAAUGAUAUCUAAUUUUUUUAGAAAAAAGUUUAAUUUUAAAUAAAUUUUAAAAAUAAUUAAUUAAUUAAUUAUUUUUAAAAUUUAAUUUUAUAUUUUAGGGGAUAAGCUUUAAAUUAGAAUUUUAUAAUAAAAGUAAAAAAAAUUGAAAUUUUUAAAAUUUAUAUUUUUUAUAAAUUAUAGUUUAUUAUCAAUAAUUUCAUUUAAUUAAAAUUUUAUUUUAAUUUAAAUUUUUAUAAAAAAAUAUUUUUUAAUUUAAUAAAAAUAGGUAUAAUGAUAAAAUUAGUAUAUAAUUUAUAAAUAAAAUAAAAAUUAUUUAAAUUAAUAAAAAGGAAUUCGGCAAAAAU
Molecule: ribosomal RNA, 655 nt
Filed under: Pieris oleracea angelika
Lineage: Eukaryota; Metazoa; Arthropoda; Insecta; Lepidoptera; Pieridae
Description: partial 16S ribosomal RNA
Source: RNAcentral